Otolemur garnettii (small-eared galago) is the source of this 85-nucleotide small nucleolar RNA. NCBI's taxonomy places the organism in Eukaryota, Metazoa, Chordata, Mammalia, Primates, Galagidae. The record is from Ensembl.
ACCCUUUUGUAGUUCAUAAGCAUGAUGAUUGGGUUUUCACGCUCAUGUGUGAAACCUUGUUAUGACAUUGGCACACUGCCUGACA